AUGGCUGCUGCGCAUGUAUGCUUCUCCUUCUCCUCCUUCGCACCAUUGCUCCAUUCGGCUUUGCCGGUGGCCAGAAGUGGUGACCAGAGUGGCCGAAACAGUGGCUUCUUUCGCCCUUCGCCGGUGAUAUAUCCCGGGCGGGAGCCUGUGUCCCAUGAGCUGUCCGAUGAUUUUGACUUCCAGGAAAGCCUAUUGAAUGUUCAAGCGUUGCUUCAUCAACAUCCGAAAAGCAACAAAGGAAUGUUGAGCACGGUUGAUCACCUCAAACACCUCUGCAUUGACCACUAUUUCCAGGAUGAAAUCGAUAACAUAAUGGAGACGUCUGUGGAUCUCCUCCAUAGUGAUGAUCUACUUGACGCAACCCUUUCCUUAAGGCUGAUGAGAGAAGUUGGAUAUUAUAUUUCGGCAGACGAUGUUCUUCAGAAGUUCACAAACGAUAAUGGUGAUUUCAACCUUAGGCAUAGCAAAGACCUUAGAGGGUUGCUGAGCUUGCAUGACAUGUCACACCUCAACAUGGGGGAAGCUUCACUCUACAAGGCAAAGGAAUUCUCAAGCAAGCACCUGAAAUUUUCACUUAAGUAUUUGGAGCCUAACCUUGCGAGAUAUGUGAUGAAGUCACUAGACCAUCCCUACCAUGUGAGCCUGAAGCAAUACAAGGCUAGGCAUCAUUUGAGUUACCUCCAGAACUUGCCUACCAUGCACACUGCAAUUGAGAAGCUGGCACUUGUAGAAUUUCAGAUGAAGAAGUUGCAACAUCAAAGUGAAAUGCAAGAGGUUAAGAGAUGGUGGGUGGAUUUGGGAUUAUCUCAAGAAAUUCCAGCUGCAAGGGACCAAGUUCUGAAAUGGUACAUGUGGUCCAUGACUAUCCUCGAGGGUUUCUCCUUCUCAAGAUAUCGGGUUGAGGCCACAAAGGUUAUCUCAAUGGUCUACAUUGUGGAUGACAUCUUUGAUCUUGUCGCCACACAGGAGGAGCUCUCUCUCUUUAAUGAGGCAAUCAAAAUGUGGGAUCUUGCAGCUGCUGAGUCACUGCCGAGUUACAUGAUAUCAUGUUACAAGGAUCUUUACACCAUCACAAAUGAUAUCGCUGAUAUGGUCAUAAAAGAGCAUGGACUGAAUCCUAUCAAUCAUCUCAAGCAAGCAUGGGCAACUUUGUUUGAUGGAUUCAUGAUCGAGGGAAAAUGGCUAUCUACUAAUCAGGUUCCUACAUCGGAGGACUACCUAAGAAAUGGUGUCAUCACUUCAGGAGCACCACUUUUAUUUAUGCAUCUUUUAUUCAUGCUUGGGCAUGAUUUGACAGAGGACAACAACGACUACAUCCUUAGGGUCAUCUCCUGCCCUGCAAAGAUCAUGAGGCUCUGGGAUGACAUGGGGAGUGCAAAGGAUGAGUUGCAGGAAGGGCUCGACGGAUCAUACAAGGAUUUGUACCAGAGAGAAAACCCUCAUGCUGAUGCGGAGAAGCACAUGUUGGAUAUGAUAGCGGGUGAAUGGGAGCAUCUAAACAGGGAAUGCUUCUCUCAGACAAAGUCCACACUACCACCUAGCUUCAUCGGGGCGUCUCUCAACUUUGCAAGGAUGGUCAGCAUCAUGUAUGGCUAUGACGAUGAGCAGAGGCUCCCCGCUCUGGAGGAUUACACUAGGAUGUUGCUCUUUUGA
This 1653-nucleotide ribosomal RNA is filed under the name Triticum aestivum (bread wheat). RNAcentral describes it as "partial small subunit ribosomal RNA". The record is from RNAcentral. Lineage: Eukaryota; Viridiplantae; Streptophyta; Magnoliopsida; Poales; Poaceae.